CAUCUACCGGGGCAUCUGCACCCAGGCCCCCGUGCUGUGUGGGGUGACUUCAGUCCCACGGGCCAAGAGGUGAGGCAUACCGCCUGCUCCACAGCCCCGGCUCCAAGCUGAGCUUCAGGGGGCUGAAGACCUGUGUCGCCACCCUCUGGCUGGGCCUCGUGUCCCUCCCGAGCAUGGGUCCCAGGGCCAGCCCCCCAUGGGGUGACGCGCAGAGCAGAAGUGCCCUCCUGCCAAGCCCGGCGGCGGACCUGGAGGCCUGCAGGGCUGUGGCCCGCAGCUCAGCGCCAACGUGCAGGAAGUAGGGGCUGAGGAAGAUGCGUCGCUGCAGCAGCAGAAAGAAGAAGCAGGCGCUGUCCCAGAUGAUGCCGGCCUCCUCCACAGGCAGCCGGCAGUCCUGGUCCUUGGUCACCAUCGCCUUGGCUGUGGGACAGGACCCCCGGGGUCAGAGCCAGAGCGGGGCCGUCCCUGUGCACCCGGCCACCAGCCUCGCCCACUCACGAUCAUAGUAACCCUUGACUGUGCACACGAGGCUGAAGAGCUGGAUGACCCAGCAGAAGCUGGUCUGCAUUUGCUCCACAAAGACACAGGACAGGAGCUGGGGGAGGAUGAGGGUCAGGGGGCCGCCAGGGCGGGUGGCGGGCGGUGGGCGGCGGAGAGGCCAGGCUGUCUCACCGAGAGCAUGUUCUUGGAGACGAUAACUGUGACAUUGUAGAGGAUGAGGCAGUCCCACAGCACAAGGCGGGCCCGCGUGUCCUUCUGCAGCAGCGCUGCAUGCCAAGAGCAGCAGGUAGAAGCAGGCCAACAGAUAGCCCAGCCCGAAGACACUGAUGCGGGUGGCACCGGUGACGAACACCACCACCAGCACCAGCCAGAACAGGUAGCGGAACACAGCCACCUUCAGCAUAUCCAGGUUGGGCCCCUCAGCCCCAUCCGAUGUGCCUGA
RNAcentral lists this long non-coding RNA (943 nucleotides) under Heterocephalus glaber (naked mole-rat). Its description in RNAcentral is "lncRNA (ENSHGLG00000039582.1)". Lineage: Eukaryota; Metazoa; Chordata; Mammalia; Rodentia; Bathyergidae. The record is from RNAcentral.